CGGGUGAGUAACGCGUAGAUAAUGUGCCCUCUUGCGGGGGAUACCGUUUCGAAAGGAACGUUAAUACCGCAUAACACGAAUUUCAGGCAUCUGGAGUUCGUCAAACUUCCGGGGCGGGAGGAGCAGUCUGCGUUCUAUCAGCUAGUUGGUGGGGUAACGGCCUACCAAGGCGACGACGGAUAACUGGUCUGAGAGGAUGAUCAGUCACACUGGAACUGAGACACGGUCCAG
This 231-nucleotide ribosomal RNA is filed under the name uncultured bacterium. RNAcentral's name for it is "partial 16S ribosomal RNA". It matches the Rfam family "Bacterial small subunit ribosomal RNA", at positions 103 to 334 of the family's 1533-position model. The record is from RNAcentral.